Molecule: long non-coding RNA, 178 nt
Organism: Chiroxiphia lanceolata (lance-tailed manakin)
Lineage: Eukaryota; Metazoa; Chordata; Aves; Passeriformes; Pipridae
Exons: 3
Source: RefSeq, a predicted model, not a curated record
UGUAGAAUUGUAAUGCAUUUGUGCUAUCUCUUCCUUUUCUUUACUCUUCUCUCUUUCUGUCCACUAUACGAAAGGCACCGCCCACAAAGAAGAUUCACAGUGAACGACAAAAGAAGAGAAAUUAUUGAAUGCAUGAAUCACGGGGUAGUGUCAGAGACCGAAAUGGUUAAUGAUUUAU